GGGGGUGCAAGGAAAAGAGAGGGAAAAAAUCUGGGGAAAAAGGGCAGGGUAACCCAAAGGGAGGAUUGUUCCUUGAUGCGGGUAGGAAAGCUUGGGGAUGGAAGGCGGCUCUGAAGUCGGCGGUCGUAGUCCCAACCCAUAAACUUAGUGCGGACUUAGGGGAUUUGGGAGGUUGUCCGUUUGUGAGAAUCGUUUUCAGGCACCUUUGAGGAGAAAUUCAAAGUCUUUGGUUUUUGGGGGGAGUUAUGGUCGCAAGGCUGAAAGUUAAAGGAAUUGAUGGAAGGGCACCACCAGGCGUGGAGCCUGCGGCUUAAUUUGACUCAACACGGGGAAACUCGCCAGGUCCAGACAAAGGAAGGAUUGACAGAUUGAUAGCUCUUUCAGGAUUCUUUGGGUGGUGGUGCAUGGCCGUUGUUAGUUGGUGGAGUGAUUUGUCUGGGUAAUUCCGUUAACGAAGGAGACCUUAACCUGCUAAAUAGGGUACGGGAAUAAGCUUUUGCUGUCCCGUGAUCGCUUGUUAGAGGGACUUUGCGGUUAUAAAUGGCAAGGAAGUUUAAGGCAAUAACAGGUCUGUGAUGCCCUUAGAUGUCCUGGGCUGCACGCGCGAAUACACUGAUGCGUUCAUCGAGUUUAUCCUUGGCCGAGAGGCCUGGGUAAUCUUUAGUACGCAUCGUGAUGGGGAUCGAUUAUUGCAAUUAGUAAUCGUGAACGAGGAAUGCGUAGUAUGCGCAAGUCAUGCAGGUUGUGCAGAUUACGUCCGUGCCCUUUGUACACACCGGCGGUCGAUCUUAUCGAAUGAGUGAUUAGGGGAAGAACUUGGAGCUUGUUCUUGGAAUUUUU
Molecule: ribosomal RNA, 840 nt
Filed under: Theileria ovis
Lineage: Eukaryota; Apicomplexa; Aconoidasida; Piroplasmida; Theileriidae
Description: SSU rRNA
Rfam family: Eukaryotic small subunit ribosomal RNA (bases 237-840)
Source: RNAcentral